AUACUUACCUGGCAGGGGAGAUACAAUGAUCACAAAGGCAGUUUUCCCAGGGCGAGGCUUAUCCAUUGCACUCCAGAUGUGCUCAUCCCUGCAAUUUCCCCAAAUGUGGGAAACUUGAAUGUAUAAAUUGUAGUAGUGGGUGACUGUGUCCAUGCUCUUCCC
RNAcentral lists this small nuclear RNA (162 nucleotides) under Carlito syrichta (Philippine tarsier). RNAcentral's name for it is "U1 spliceosomal RNA (ENSTSYG00000031573.1)". It matches the Rfam family "U1 spliceosomal RNA". Rfam says of the family: U1 is a small nuclear RNA (snRNA) component of the spliceosome (involved in pre-mRNA splicing). Its 5' end forms complementary base pairs with the 5' splice junction, thus defining the 5' donor site of an intron. Lineage: Eukaryota; Metazoa; Chordata; Mammalia; Primates; Tarsiidae. The record is from RNAcentral.